Molecule: unclassified non-coding RNA, 281 nt
Filed under: Hevea brasiliensis (rubber tree)
Lineage: Eukaryota; Viridiplantae; Streptophyta; Magnoliopsida; Malpighiales; Euphorbiaceae
Source: RNAcentral
AAAUUUUCAUCAAUAUUUAUCCCAAAUUUGCAUUCCUUGAUGCUUUUAUAAGUGUGUAAGCUAAUGGGUUAUGAUUUGAAAGAGAGAGGCUUGAGUGGGAUCCCAACAACAGUCAAGACGCAUCUCGUUUAAAGGGUUAAAAAGAUAGGAUGAAAGGCAAAGAAGAAGAUGCCGCCACUNNNCGCCACUCUUUUCAAAGAGUCUGUGCUUGGGUGUCUCCAAUUUGUCAUUUUUCCCUCUUUCUUGACCUUUUUUUGAUUUGGGUUUUUCCCACAAUGACG